GAUGAACGCUGGCGGCGUGCCUAAUACAUGCAAGUCGAGCGAACGGACGAGAAGCUUGCUUCUCUGAUGUUAGCGGCGGACGGGUGAGUAAAACGUGGAUAACCUACCUAUAAGACUGGGAUAAAUUCGGGAAACCGGAGCUAAUACCGGAUAAUAUUUUGAACCGCAUGGUUCAAAAGUGAAAGACGGUCUUGCUGUCACUUAUAGAUGGAUCCGCGCUGCAUUAGCUAGUUGGUAAGGUAACGGCUUACCAAGGCAACGAUGCAUAGCCGACCUGAGAGGGUGAUCGGCCACACUGGAACUGAGACACGGUCCAGACUCCUACGGGAGGCAGCAGUAGGGAAUCUUCCGCAAUGGGCGAAAGCCUGACGGAGCAACGCCGCGUGAGUGAUGAAGGUCUUCGGAUCGUAAAACUCUGUUAUUAGGGAAGAACAUAUGUGUAAGUAACUGUGCACAUCUUGACGGUACCUAAUCAGAAAGCCACGGCUAACUACGUG
RNAcentral lists this ribosomal RNA (497 nucleotides) under uncultured bacterium. RNAcentral describes it as "partial 16S ribosomal RNA". It matches the Rfam family "Bacterial small subunit ribosomal RNA", at positions 28 to 507 of the family's 1533-position model. The record is from RNAcentral.